AGUGAAGCAAACUCUUCCUGCACUUGCAAAUGCUGAACAGUUAGAGGGAAAUCGUGAAAAUAGAGGUGAAGGGCUGAGCAUUUGCCACACCGGUUAGCAUUUGUAUAUGCAGAGACAAUUAGGAAUGCACACUGAGUAUUAUUAAAUUUAGUUCUCAGGUAAUUAUAGCAGAAUGGGAGAAAGAUAAAUAGAAGAACUAUAUAAAAUCUGGACUAUAUAGAAUGCACGUAGUGCUGGCAGUUUAUUCUUAUAAGGGAUCCAGCUGGAGGGCUGAUGUCUGUUUCCUUAUGAUUUUGCUUUUUACACUCAUUUUGACUCCGCUCUGACUUUUGUGUGCCUGAACGGACUGAAACGAAGGGCAACCUGAAACCACCAGCCUUCUUCUCUCUCCUGUAAUGCCUAGAAGGGCUUGUCCCCCUUAGGGAUGGUUGCUGCUGGUUGUAACUGGGUACUGGCUGCCUUCCUUCCCCAGCUCUUCCUCGGACUGGGGCAUGCGUAUCACCCAAGGUGGGGGAAGGAGAGGCAGGCACGUCAAUCCUGUCUCCCUCAUGUUUCCUCAGCUUUCGUCUGCUCUGGCGUGCAGGCUUGCCUGCCUGCAGACUGCUACUUGCUAUGUCCAGUACGUGUGCGUGGCUGUCAACAGGAGAAAUGCUGUAAGACCUUGACCUGGUGGGGAAGGGGUCCUGAGCUAUUUCAGCACCCAAAUCUACUCUAGUACAAUCACCGAGUAGGGGCCUUUCUAGGCAUGCAGUCCCCUUAGAUUUGGGCGUGAUAACUAACCAUAUCCUGCGAGUUGGACGUUUGGCUUACAUCCUCAUAUCUUCCUGCUUGCAGAGAGGUGAAGGGAUUCUGUGCUCCUGGAGGGUCCAUCUGUAACAGGAAAAAGAAGCAUCCUACUUACUUGUGGUCUUUCAAUUACCAAAGGCAUUUAUGCGAGAGUAAGAAGUAUCAGGGAUCAUAUUCUUGCUAAACUCCAAGUGAGCAUUCUUUGCCUUUCCUACCUACAUUUACGAUGGAAUAAAAUGUUGCUCGCUUCUUUUCUGUCUAGAGCUACUGUCUAAUAUAGUUGCGUGAUGUUAAAUUGCUAUAUUUUUUCAGUCUAGAGCAAAUUGCCUUUCAAGACUGAAGGGUUCCCUGUAUGUAAAGUUCAUUCAGUCCAUUAAAAUGAGCAUGCAAACAUAUUUUUAUUGGCAUUAAAUGCUUUGUGUUAUAUGU
Molecule: long non-coding RNA, 1215 nt
Organism: Calidris pugnax (ruff)
Lineage: Eukaryota; Metazoa; Chordata; Aves; Charadriiformes; Scolopacidae
Exons: 3
Source: RefSeq, a predicted model, not a curated record